Molecule: long non-coding RNA, 294 nt
Organism: Oreochromis aureus
Lineage: Eukaryota; Metazoa; Chordata; Actinopteri; Cichliformes; Cichlidae
Exons: 3
Source: RefSeq, a predicted model, not a curated record
UCAAUACCACAUAUUUCUACACUAAGGCUAACCCUACUGAAGCAUUCAAGAUUCCCAGAGAACAGGUGUCCAAGCUUCUCCCAGUGUGCUUUGCUGAGAAGAUCCUCAGAGUUUACUGUAAGAACUCAGCCAGUCUGAGAGAUGCUAAGUUCUGCUUUCAAAGUUGGUGUCACGAAAUUGACUUUCUAACUGAGGAUCGAGACAGAGCAACUCCAUGAAAUGAAGAUGUGAAACACUGAGAGAUUUAUUUUUUUGUGUUACUGCAGAGAUUUAAAAACAGGUAAAUCGACGAAC